GCCGCGGUAAUACGAAGGGACCUAGCGUAGUUCGGAAUUACUGGGCUUAAAGAGUUCGUAGGUGGUUGAAAAAGUUGGUGGUGAAAUCCCAGAGCUUAACUCUGGAACUGCCAUCAAAACUUUUCAGCUAGAGUUUGAUAGAGGAAAGCAGAAUUUCUAGUGUAGAGGUGAAAUUCGUAGAUAUUAGAAAGAAUACCAAUUGCGAAGGCAGCUUUCUGGAUCAUUACUGACACUGAGGAACGAAAGCAUGGGUAGCGAAGAGGAUUAGAUACCCUCGUAGUCCAUGCCGUAAACGAUGUGUGUUAGACGUUGGAAAUUUAUUUUCAGUGUCGCAGCGAAAGCGAUAAACACACCGCCUGGGGAGUACGACCGCAAGGUUAAAACUCAAAUGAAUUGACGGGGACCCGCACAAGUAGUGGAGCAUGUGGUUUAAUUCGAAGAUACGCGCAGAACCUUACCAACACUUGACAUGUUCGUCGCGACUUUAAGAGAUUAAAGUUUUCGGUUCGGCCGGACGAAACACAGGUGCUGCAUGGCUGUCGUCAGCUCGUGUCGUGAGAUGUUGGGUUAAGUCCCGCAACGAGCGCAACCCUCACUUUUAGUUGCCAUCAUUAAGUUGGGCACUCUGAAAGAACUGCCAGUGAUAAGCUGGAGGAAGGUGGGGAUGACGUCAAGUCCUCAUGGCCCUUACGUGUUGGGCUACACACGUGCUACAAUGGUAUUUACAACAGGAAGCAAGACGGCGACGUUAAGCAAAUCCUUAAAAAAUACCUCAGUUCGGAUUGCACUCUGCAACUCGAGUGCAUGAAGCUGGAAUUACUAGUAAUCGUGGAUCAGCGUGCCACGGUGAAUGCGUU
Molecule: ribosomal RNA, 857 nt
Filed under: marine metagenome
Description: bacterial SSU rRNA
Rfam family: Bacterial small subunit ribosomal RNA
Source: RNAcentral